UGUCACUGACGACCAUUGGUGAUCAGGCAAGAGGUGAGACUGGAGGUGAGGUCUUAGCCAGAGCCUCAUUGAUGGGAAUAGCAGCAUAGAUCAGCUCCUGGCCCCUCAUCAAAUAUACUGGUUGGUCUCACACACACACACAGACCACUGAUUACAUUAUCAAUGGUGGUUAUGAUUAGCCUGGUGAAACCGACCUGAUCGCUGUGUUCACCUUUCUAUUUCACUUCAGAUAUCUUCUAAUGUGAUGUGAAAUAGAUUGAUGAACACAGGGAUCAGGCUGGUUCCACCUGAUUAGGUAAUGACCUGGACAUUAUAUGGUGAACACAGGGCUCAGGCUGAUUCCUCCUGGUUAGGUAAUGACCUGGACAUUAUAUGGUGAACACAGGGCUCAGGCUGGUUCCACCAGGUUAGGUAAUGACCUGGACAUUAUAUGGUGAACACAGGGCUCAGGCUGGUUCCACCAGGUUAGGUAAUGACCUGGACAUUAUAUGGUGAACACAGGGCUCAGGCUGGUUCCACCAGGUUAGGUAAUGACCUGGACAUUAUAUGGUGAACACAGGGCUCAGGCUAGUUCCACCAGGUUAGGUAAUGACCUGAACAUUAUAUGGUGAACACAGGACUCAGGCUGGUUCCACCAGGUUAGGUAAUGACCUGGACAUUAUAUGGUGAACACACUCAGGCUGGUUCCACCAGGUUAGGUAAUGACCUGGACAUUAUAUGGUGAACACACUCAGGCUGGUUCCACCAGGUUAGGUAAUGACCUGGACAUUAUAUGGUGUACACACUCAGGCUGGUUCCACCAGGUUAGGUAAUGACCUGGACAUUAUAUGGUGAACACAGGGCUCAGGCUGGUUCCACCAGGUUAGGUAAUGACCUGGACAUUAUAUGGUGAACACACUCAGGGUGGUUCCACCAGGUUAGGUAAUGACCUGGACAUUAUAUGGUGAACACAGGGCUCAGGCUAGUUCCACCAGGUUAGGUAAUGACCUGAACAUUAUAUGCAUCUAAGAAGUAGAAAAUAAGCAAGCAAAUAAUGCCAGUUUAUAUACAUUAUGUUUCACUAUUGGGUUUUCAAAUGUAUCAAAGUAAUGAAGUGGGUUACCUUCUGUAUUUGUACAAAUGAUGAGCCUGUGAAAGCUGUUGUCGAUGACAGGUUUGUCUAACCGGAUACUUGCCAACAUGUGGCUGACUGUUCCAUUCAUAGGAAUGCUCACAGUGAAGUCAAGUCUGUAUGAUACUGAUGAAAGUCUUCACUAUGCUGCAUGUUCUGCUGCCAUCUGGACAUGUCUCCAACAACUGCAACAGGAAAUCUGAUGAGGUGGUGUUGGCUGGGAGGGCCUGUGACAGGGUCAUAUAAUAGAGAGCCAAGUGGUCAAUUGCAUUUUG
This 1386-nucleotide long non-coding RNA is filed under the name Salmo salar (Atlantic salmon). Its description in RNAcentral is "lncRNA (ENSSSAG00000104574.1)". Lineage: Eukaryota; Metazoa; Chordata; Actinopteri; Salmoniformes; Salmonidae. The record is from RNAcentral.